RNAcentral lists this ribosomal RNA (1234 nucleotides) under metagenome. Its description in RNAcentral is "bacterial SSU rRNA". It matches the Rfam family "Bacterial small subunit ribosomal RNA", at positions 114 to 1352 of the family's 1533-position model. The record is from RNAcentral.
CACGUGUGCAACCAACCCCGUACAGGGAGAUAACCCGCGGAAACGUGGACUAACACCCCAUAAUACCUUUCCCCCGCAUGGGGGGGAGUUUAAAACCCCGGUGGUACGGGACGGGCACGCGCGACAUUAGGUAGUUGGCGGGGUAACGGCCCACCAAGCCGACGAUGUCUAGGGGUUCUGAGAGGAAGGUCCCCCACACUGGAACUGAGACACGGUCCAGACUCCUACGGGAGGCAGCAGUGAGGAAUAUUGGUCAAUGGGCGAGAGCCUGAACCAGCCAAGUCGCGUGAGGGAAGAAUGGUCUAUGGCCUGUAAACCUCUUUUGUCAAGGAAGAACAUGUAGUACGUGUACUACCCUGCCAGUACUUGACGAAUAAGCAUCGGCUAACUCCGUGCCAGCAGCCGCGGUAAUACGGGGGAUGCGAGCGUUAUCCGGAUUUAUUGGGUUUAAAGGGCGCGUAGGCGGGACGUCAAGUCAGCGGUAAAAGACUGCAGCUAAACUGUAGCACGCCGUUGAAACUGUCGACCUGGAGACGAGACGAGGGAGGCGGAACAAGUGAAGUAGCGGUGAAAUGCAUAGAUAUCACUUGGAACCCCGAUAGCGAAGGCAGCUUCCCAGGCUCGAUCUGACGCUGAUGCGCGAGAGCGUGGGUAGCGAACAGGAUUAGAUACCCUGGUAGUCCACGCCGUAAACGAUGCUCACUGGAUCUUGGCGAUACACGGCCAGGGUUCAAGCGAAAGUAUUAAGUGAGCCACCUGGGGAGUACGUCGGCAACGAUGAAACUCAAAGGAAUUGACGGGGGCCCGCACAAGCGGAGGAACAUGUGGUUUAAUUCGAUGAUACGCGAGGAACCUUACCCGGGUUUAAAUGCAGGUUGCAUGAGGUGGAAACACCUCUUUCCCUCGGGACUACCUGCAAGGUGCUGCAUGGUUGUCGUCAGCUCGUGCCGUGAGGUGUCGGGUUAAGUCCCAUAACGAGCGCAACCCCUAUCGCCAGUUGCCAUCGGUUUCGGCCGGGCACUCUGUCGAGACUGCCACCGUAAGGUGCGAGGAAGGCGGGGAUGACGUCAAAUCAGCACGGCCCUUACACCCGGGGCGACACACGUGUUACAAUGGCCGGUACAGAGGGCAGCCACGGGGCGACCCUGAGCGAAUCUCUAAAGCCGGUCGUAGUUCGGACUGGAGUCUGCAACCCGACUCCACGAAGUUGGAUUCGCUAGUAAUCGCGCAUCAG